AACGAACGCUGGCGGCACGCCUAACACAUGCAAGUCGAACGAGACCUUCGGGUCUAGUGGCGCACGGGUGCGUAACGCGUGGGAACCUGCCCUUAGGUUCGGAAUAACUCCCCGAAAGGGGUGCUAAUACCGGAUAAUGUCUUCGGACCAAAGAUUUAUCGCCUUUGGAUGGGCCCGCGUUGGAUUAGCUAGUUGGUAGGGUAAAAGCCUACCAAGGCGACGAUCCAUAGCUGGUCUGAGAGGAUGAUCAGCCACACUGGGACUGAGACACGGCCCAGACUCCUACGGGAAGCAGCAGUGGGGAAUAUUGGACAAUGGGCGAAAGCCUGAUCCAGCAAUGCCGCGUGAGUGAUGAAGGCCUUAGGGUUGUAAAGCUCUUUUACCCGGGAUGAUAAUGACAGUACCGGGAGAAUAAGCUCCGGCUAACUCCGUG
Molecule: ribosomal RNA, 433 nt
Filed under: uncultured bacterium
Lineage: Bacteria
Description: partial 16S ribosomal RNA
Rfam family: Bacterial small subunit ribosomal RNA
Source: RNAcentral